Molecule: non-coding RNA, 119 nt
Filed under: Zalophus californianus (California sea lion)
Lineage: Eukaryota; Metazoa; Chordata; Mammalia; Carnivora; Otariidae
Also listed under: 3 other names
Source: RNAcentral
GUGUUGUAUGAAAGGAGAGGUUAGCACUACCCUUAACAAGGAUGUAAGAGGCCCUCAGGCCUAGCAACACACAUAUGGUUAAGGCAUUGCCACCUACUUUGGGCAUCUAACAUUUUUAU